CGAUUUUCAACCCGAGGAUCACGGAGUUGGCCGAGGUGGUCACCAGCAGCGGAGCUCCUCGGAACCAACGCCGGACAAAGCUGUAUCAGAGACAACUUCGGAGGAGGAACUUCAAACGGGCUCGUCAUCGCGGAUGGCGAUCGGCUACGAUGGCCGUGAUUGAUCGUG
RNAcentral lists this long non-coding RNA (168 nucleotides) under Ixodes scapularis (black-legged tick). Its description in RNAcentral is "uncharacterized LOC120839529". Lineage: Eukaryota; Metazoa; Arthropoda; Arachnida; Ixodida; Ixodidae. The record is from RNAcentral.